Gallus gallus (chicken) is the source of this 1475-nucleotide long non-coding RNA. Lineage: Eukaryota; Metazoa; Chordata; Aves; Galliformes; Phasianidae. The record is from Ensembl.
GUUCUCUAUCUGGAGAUCACCCCCUCUGGGAGCUUUUCUGUGAGCCCAGGAUAUGGCCCAGGAUCACAGAAUUGUAGGGGUUGGAAGGGACCUCUGGAGAUCAAGUCCAACCCAACUACUAAAGCAGGUUUCCUACAAUAAUUUGCACAGGAGAGUGUUCAGAAAGGUCUUUAAUCUCUCUGGAGGAGGAUAUUCCUCAACCUCUCUGGGCAGACUAUUCCAGUUCUCCUUCAUCCUCACAUGGAAGAGCUCAAGACACCUUUAUACACCUGAACCUGAAAUUAUUGUGAAACAUGACACCUAGAAGAAAAAAAAAAAUCAGAAACCAAUAUCUCCCUGCAGCUUAGAAAAGUUCACAUAUGCCUCACAGGAGCAUCAUUUAAGGACAUAACUGCUAAACCCUUCCCUUCCUCCCAGCCCUCUGGCAUUCCAGCUGAGAUAAUCAGUAGAAAGGACUUGGCAUCAAAUGCAAAUGUGAGACAGGAUGGUGUGAAGCUGCUUACCAAGCUGUUAGAGGCAGAGAAAAAACAAAGAUCUGUACCAGAUAAAAACUUUAAUCCUAUCUGCAGUGAUAUAAAGGAAGAAAAAAGCAGAUGCUAAGAUGAUAAUCUUGAUGAUCUGGAUAUCUGGCUGCCAGUUCGGAAACACUAAAUUAAAUUAUGUACAGGAGAAAACUGCAUCUUUCAAAACAGAGGAGGACAAAAACUCCAGUAGAAAAAAACACCAUUAGAAUUUGGAUACAUUCACUCGGCAGGCAACUUUUCCUUUCUGCUGAGGUCUGUCUUGCUUUAAAUUAUCUAUUGUAUCCAUUCCUUACUUUUGUUAAAAGUCACCUGCAGCUCUGUAGAAUUUCAGUCUUGUGGAGAUAAUAGAAAGGAAAAAAAAAUGAGCUAUUUGGAAAUGAUGAAGGAAAAGAGAAUAAGCUCCCCAAGUAUAGGGUAGAAUUGUUCAAUUACGUGGUAUAUUAGUUAAAAAUGAGUUCAGGAGAUAAAUGCAUAUGGUGGUCUACUGCUUCAGCAAGGCAGAGUCUUGUCAGUUGAAGGUUUUCUGAGUUGUCCUACUUUGGACUUACAACAAUAACUACCAGAGAAGAACAGAUGGUGUCUGGGAGGCAGAAGUGUAGUAGUCCACUUAAGUGAAACAAGUGAUUGCAUAAUGAAUGACAUCUACAUAGAAGAAAAGAAAAAUGCAUCAGUUAGAAGAAACAUAAAAGCCUAUGCAUUCAAUACACACACAAAAAAAAAAGUUACAAGGAAUGUAUCCUUUUCCUUGGCUAUCAUAAAAUACACAUUUAGAGCAAGAGAAAUAAAAGAAUCCAUUAUGUCACAGAAAGUUUAAAUUACAUUACAAUGGAACUUUUAAAAUUAAAUUUGAAUUGGAAUUUCAGUUUUUAUUUUCCUUCUUCCAUCAUACAAUGCUGAGCCAGAAUCUCACUUAGCUUUCUUGAUGUAUGUCCUAAUUUAAUAAAUUUUGAG